CAGCGCCGCGGGAAUACGGAGGGUGCAAGCGUUACUCGGAAUCACUGGGCGUAAAGGACGCGUAGGCGGAUUAUCAAGUCUCUUGUGAAAUCUAACGGCUUAACCGUUAAACUGCUUGGGAAACUGAUAACCUAGAGUAAGGGAGAGGCAGAUGGAAUUCUUGGUGUAGGGGUAAAAUCCGUAGAGAUCAAGAAGAAUACCCAUUGCGAAAGCGAUCUGCUGGAACUUAACUGACGCUAAUGCGUGAAAGCGUGGGGAGCAAACAGGAUUAGAUACCCCCGUAGUCCCUGUCUCUUAUACA
Molecule: ribosomal RNA, 301 nt
Filed under: uncultured bacterium
Lineage: Bacteria
Description: partial 16S ribosomal RNA
Rfam family: Bacterial small subunit ribosomal RNA
Source: RNAcentral